ACAGGAACAGGCUGGGCAAGACCAUGACUCAGGCCUGUCCUAGACACAGUCAUUCUGGAUGAGAGUCACUGGGAAGAGGGGCAGGACUCAGGGGAUAAGGACUCACUGUCCCUCCUCCCCAGACACCAGGCAGUGUGGCUCAGCUGUGGUCAGCACUGCGGGUUGGCCUGGUCCACAGCUCUGCAUCCAUCCCUGUCGGAUGCCCUGGCCCUGCAGCCUCCCUGGUCACUUGUAACCUCUGCCUGCCAAGUCUGUGGACACCGCAGAGCCUUUGCUGGCCAGGCCCUCAGCAGCCCUGGCUCCGUGCACCGGGACACCCCACUCAGCGCCAAGCUCCCAUGAGAGUCCUGCUCACACAGGGAGAGGCAGGCUGGGGACACAGACCGGACCGGCUGGCUGCACCUCUGGCUCCAGGUCCCCAGAGGCAGUACUGGGAAUGACUGACAGCCUCAGGCAGAGGAUGGCGCCUAGCCUUGGCACUCCAGGCCCAGAAUGAAACAGCGAGGGAAGAGGGGCCACGCCCUGGGGAACACCAGACGUGGAGUCCAAGAAUGCUGUUCAGGGUCCCCUUGAGGAAGGGUCCUUGGGAGCUCAGCACCACCAAGGCCCAGCGGAGAAGAUAGGUGGCCUCCGGCCUGGUCAGUGGCGAGCAGAGAAACCUGAGAACGUCCGCCUAAUCAGCCAGCCACAGUGGCGCACGCCCAUGACACCAGCACGCAAGAGGCUGAGGCGGGAGAAUCACCACGAGUUGGAGGCCAGCCUGGGCUACAUAGCAAGACCGCGUCAACAACAAAAAGAAGAAGAUGGACCUCAGGGUCCCCGCACUCCCCUGUCCACCGCAGCUGAGACCUGAGGGCAGCCA
This 862-nucleotide long non-coding RNA is filed under the name Heterocephalus glaber (naked mole-rat). RNAcentral's name for it is "lncRNA (ENSHGLG00100050812.1)". The record is from RNAcentral. Lineage: Eukaryota; Metazoa; Chordata; Mammalia; Rodentia; Bathyergidae.